GGAGAGGUACCCAAGUGGCUUAAGGGGACUGUUUGCUAAACAGUUAGAUCGUCUUUAUGGGCGGUGCGAGGGUUCGAAUCCCUCCCUCUCCGCCA
This 95-nucleotide transfer RNA is filed under the name bacterium. RNAcentral describes it as "tRNA-Ser". It matches the Rfam family "tRNA". Rfam says of the family: Transfer RNA (tRNA) molecules are approximately 80 nucleotides in length. The record is from RNAcentral.